This is a long non-coding RNA of Notothenia coriiceps (black rockcod), 430 nucleotides long. RefSeq lists it as uncharacterized. The record is from RefSeq and is a predicted model, not a curated record. NCBI's taxonomy places the organism in Eukaryota, Metazoa, Chordata, Actinopteri, Perciformes, Nototheniidae. The transcript has 3 exons.
ACUAGUCCGGGUACAGGCAGGGUCAGGGAGCAGGCGAGGCAGACUAGUCCGGGUACAGGCAGGGUCAGGGAGCAGGCGAGGCAAACUAGUCCGGGUACAGGCAGGGUCAGGGAGCGGGCGAGGCAGAAUAGUCCGGGUACAGGCAGGGUCAGGAAACAGGCGAGGCAGAAUAGUCCGGGUACAGGCAGGGUCAGGGAGCAGGCGAGGCAGACUAGUCCGGGUACAGGCAGGGUCAGGAAACAGGCGAGGCAGAAUAGUCCGGGUACAGGCAGGGUCAGGGAGCAGGCGAGGCAGACUAGUCCGGGUACAGGCAGGGUCAGGGAGCAGGCGAGGCAGGCUGGGAGGUAAUGCGGGAACAAACUGCAUGCUGCCAAGUACGAUCUGGUACUGAGGUGAGAGUGAAGGGGGCCUAUAUACUAGUGGAGCCAAU